GAAAAGAGAAAAAAAAAAGGAGAGAGGGAAGGGAAAACGACGUCGUUUUGCAGAGGGAAGAAAACGACGUCAUUUUGCAGAGGGGAGAAAACGACGUCGUUUUGGAAAGGAAAAAACGGUGUCGUUUUGCAAGGAGGAAAACGACGCCGUUUUGAGAAAAAAAACUGGGGUGAUUCAAGUAGGAGGCGGGGGAAGGCAGGAAGGAGGAAAGGACGGAAAAAGAGGGAAAAAGGGGAGCAGAGGAGAAGGGGAGCGGGAGAGAGAAAGAGGAGAGGAAGGAAGGUUCCAGAAGGAGAGAGGAAGGAAACGGAGCGGGGAGAAGAGGAAAUCGCGGACGGUGAGAGCAGAUUCGACCGCAAGGAAGAAAAAUGGAAACGGGAGGUACGGUAAUGAACUCUAAAUUUGUGUGUUGAUUUGAGUGUGAAAUGGUUGGAUGUGUAGCGUGUGUAGUAACGGGUUACGGAGGUAGUGACGUACGGAAGGGACGGGUGAGAAUGUGUAGUGAGGCGGGGGAAAGAAAGUGGACCGAGGGAGGAUCGCAGAGGAGAGAGGGAGAAGGUGGUGUGCGGGUAAGGGAGAGAGAUAGGAGCACGGAAUGAGUGGAGGCCAUGAGAGAGAAAGGAGAGGUGCAAACAAAAGAGGUAACCGCGUGAGGAUCGCGGGAGGAGAGAGUGAGAAGGUGACGGUACGGACGGGAAACGGUGUGGGGGUGAGUGAGGGGUGUGAGCGACGCAGAGGGAGAUAGGGAGACGUUGUGGUGUGAGGACAUAGUCGGAGGGAGAGAUAGGUGGAGGCAGUGGGGGAAAAGCAGGGGAAGGGAUGAGUCCGUGGAGUGAGUGAGGCGAGAAGGACAGUGUGAGGUGAUGGUGUGGCGGGUAAUUGUAGCCGAGGGAGAGAUAGGGCAAGGCAGUGGAGGAACGCUGGUGGGAGGAAGAACCCGCGGGGUGAGUGAGGUGAGAAAGAUGGUGUGACGCGACGUUGUGGCGGGAGAUUGUAGCAGAGAGAGAGAGUUAGGGAGGGGCGGGGAGUGAAGGUUAGAGAAGGGAAAGAUCCACCAGAUGAGGGAGAUCCACCGGGGGAGUGAGACGCUUUGGGAAGUGGAGUUGGUUAGUUGGAACCUUAGGGGAAGAGAGACGGAGUGAGUGGGGGCAAUUAGGAGAUGUCGCAGGUGUGCGUGCGUGGCCUGGUAUAGGUCGAGAGGUGGUUAGUGGUCACCGAUAUCGGUGACGGAAAAGAAGGACCAGUGUAUGUGUGAGUGGCCUGGUAUAGGUCGUGAGAUGGCUAACGGUCGUCGAUGGUGGUGACGGGAGAGAAUGAUCAGAGUAUGUGUGAGUGGCCUGGUAUAGGUCGUGAGAUGGCUAAAGGUCGCCGAUGGUGGUGACGGGAGAGAAUGACCAGAGUGUGUGUGAGUGGCCUGGUAUAGGUCGAGAGAUGGCUAACGGUCACCGAUGAUGGCGACCCAAGUGAAUGAAAAUGGUGUGUGUGUGUGUGUGUGAGUGGCCUGGUAUAGGUCAGGGGAUGGCUAACGGUCACCGAAGGUGGUGACGAGAGAGAAUGAUUGGAGUGUGCGUGUGUGGCCUGAUAUGGGGUCGAUAGGUGACGGAUGGUCGCCGCUGUUGGUAAUGGAAAUGAGUGAGAUUUGUGUGCGUGUGUGGCCCACUAGGGGUCGAUAAGUGGUUAAUGGUUGCCAAUCUUGGCGGUGAAGGGUAUCCCUGGCACACCUGGAGUGUCGUCGGGAACGGACGCCUAGGGUAGGUAGAAUAGUAGGUGUAGGAGGGAAAGUGUUGAGUUCAGUAAUGAACGAUUGGUAGAGGCAUAGGAUUUAUAUUGUUGCAUUUCACGCAUGUAUUUUGAGUUUUACUGUACUGAGUUAAAGGAAUUCACUCUUUCCUUUUUACAGAUGAUGUAGGGACGGAGUCCGGAUCGAGGCCAUUGGAUUCUGAUCCUAGUGUGUAGAGUACAGGAUGAGGAGUUUCGUUUUAUUUUGUCUGAAUGGAAUAUGUAGAAUUGAUGAUAGCAUAGAUUUUGAGCAUGGUUGUAUGGUAUGAGGUGUCUUGUACAUGGUUGUAAGAUUGUCUUGAUCAUUGAAUGAGGGAUUAUGCUAUUGUUUCCUUGUGCAUGACCGUUUGGUUAUGAAAGUUGGUUGUUUGUUAAUUACGCCUAACAGAAAAAAAAA
Molecule: long non-coding RNA, 2176 nt
Filed under: Carica papaya (papaya)
Lineage: Eukaryota; Viridiplantae; Streptophyta; Magnoliopsida; Brassicales; Caricaceae
Description: long non-coding RNA (CPAP_LNC008663)
Source: RNAcentral